RNAcentral lists this small RNA (933 nucleotides) under Drosophila mojavensis. Its description in RNAcentral is "GI27044". The record is from RNAcentral. Lineage: Eukaryota; Metazoa; Arthropoda; Insecta; Diptera; Drosophilidae.
AUCAACAGCAGACUUGCUUACGGUUAUAAGCCUUUGAGAAUUCUAGGUCUAGAUUUCUCAAUAACUUAUUAUCUAAAUACAAGCUAGUUCUAUAAAGCCAAAGUCUUACACACACUCCAUCUUCACUUAUACUUAUAAACUAUCUAACCAUGGAGACCCUCUACUUGCUACCUUGUGAAGCUCUUAGACUAGCCGUAUAUAACUCCUCAUAUAUCUUGGACUGGAGCACAUCCCUUUUUGGCUGGCAGCUGCUUGGGCCGAGCAUUAAUCAAGUUACUUUCGAGCUGGCGAGCUAAGAUAAACACUUCAGCUCAUUAUAAUUCAUACGGAUUUACUAGUGUUUGGCGGCGUGCUUCAGCUUCGGGCGCUUCAAAGCGAAUUCCGUAAGUUAAGUUAAUUUCUGGAAUUACGAGCUCUUUUCAAUCGCAAACAGCCGCAACUUAAUCAAAGUGGGCGACGUUGGCGUUUUCCAGGGACCCCAGUGCCGACAUCAAAGGAUUAAUGAAAUGUAAUAUAUGCUUUAAUUUAGCUUAAGGACACACUAAGCCAAAGAGCCGCGCAGAGGGAUAGAUUUCAAAGAGCCCGGCGAAUCGAUACACGGCGAACUCGUCAAAAUUUGACAAACGCAAUGCGCUUAGCUGCAGGCGCCACCUCCCAGCUCCUAUCCCCAACCAGCCAAACCGCUAAACCACAAGCCACCAACUUCGUUGGCUCCUCCCCUCCCCACUCCGCAGCGCCUUUCUGAAAACCGCGAACACAGCACGCGCACAAACAGCACAGAGGGAAGCCAGCAGCUCCCCAGCUCCCCAGCUCCCCAUUUCCCCAGUCUAUCAUGGGGAGAGGCGACACGACUCGACGCGACUCGACGCGACUCCACUUUAAGAUGAAGCCAACACACUGGGCCACUGAAUAAUAAAUCUGUUUAAUUUUUGA